Molecule: ribosomal RNA, 497 nt
Filed under: uncultured bacterium
Lineage: Bacteria
Description: partial 16S ribosomal RNA
Rfam family: Bacterial small subunit ribosomal RNA
Source: RNAcentral
GAUGAACGCUGGCGGCGUGCCUAAUACAUGCAAGUCGAACGCAUAGCGAAAGGUGCUUGCACCUUUCAAGUGAGUGGCGAACGGGUGAGUAACACGUGGACAACCUGCCUCAAGGCUGGGGAUAACAUUUGGAAACAGAUGCUAAUACCGAAUAAAACUUAGUGUCGCAUGACACAAAGUUAAAAGGCGCUUCGGCGUCACCUAGAGAUGGAUCCGCGGUGCAUUAGUUAGUUGGUGGGGUAAAGGCCUACCAAGACAAUGAUGCAUAGCCGAGUUGAGAGACUGAUCGGCCACAUUGGGACUGAGACACGGCCCAAACUCCUACGGGAGGCUGCAGUAGGGAAUCUUCCACAAUGGGCGAAAGCCUGAUGGAGCAACGCCGCGUGUGUGAUGAAGGCUUUCGGGUCGUAAAGCACUGUUGUAUGGGAAGAACAGCUAGAAUAGGAAAUGAUUCUAGUUUGACGGUACCAUACCAGAAAGGGACGGCUAAAUACCUG